Molecule: ribosomal RNA, 414 nt
Filed under: Triticum aestivum (bread wheat)
Lineage: Eukaryota; Viridiplantae; Streptophyta; Magnoliopsida; Poales; Poaceae
Description: partial small subunit ribosomal RNA
Source: RNAcentral
AUGGCUCCUGAAUAUGCCUCGGAGGGACAAUUCUCAAUCAAGUCGGAUGUAUUCAACUUCGGUGUGUUGCUUCUAGAGAUCAUCUCUGGGAAAAGAAACAACGGGUUCAACCAAACUGGGAACAUUGGUAAUCUUCUUGGAUAUGCUUGGCUAUUAUGGAAAGGGAAAAAAUGGUGUGAGCUCAUUGACCCUUGCUUAGACGUUAAGCAUCCAAAUAUGGAGAUUAUGAGAUUCAUUAACGUUGGGUUAAUGUGCGUACAAGACGACGCUGUCGACUGCCCUACAAUCUCGGAUGCUAUCUCUUUGCUUAUGAAUGAGAGCAUAAUCUUGCCUAACCCGAAGAAGCCUGCUUACUUUAGGAACAAAGGAGAAGAUCCAGAGUUAGAGGAACAAUAUAGUGUAAACCUCCUUACU